Molecule: ribosomal RNA, 253 nt
Filed under: uncultured bacterium
Lineage: Bacteria
Description: partial 16S ribosomal RNA
Rfam family: Bacterial small subunit ribosomal RNA
Source: RNAcentral
UACAGAGGUCUCAAGCGUUGUUCGGAUUCAUUGGGCGUAAAGGGUGCGUAGGCGGCGCGGUAAGUCGGGUGUGAAAUCUCGGAGCUCAACUCCGAAACUGCACUUGAUACUGCCUUGCUCGAGUACUGGAGAGGAGAUUGGAAUUUACGGUGUAGCAGUGAAAUGCGUAGAUAUCGUAAGGAAGACCAGUGGCGAAGGCGAAUCUCUGGACAGUUACUGACACUGAGGCACGAAGGCCAGGGGAGCAAACGGG